RNAcentral lists this small RNA (69 nucleotides) under Epilithonimonas mollis. RNAcentral's name for it is "Chryseobacterium molle Flavo-1 RNA". It matches the Rfam family "Flavo-1 RNA". The record is from RNAcentral. Lineage: Bacteria; Pseudomonadati; Bacteroidota; Flavobacteriia; Flavobacteriales; Weeksellaceae.
ACAUAGCCCCGAUUGCAGUGGAAAUCCUUUUUUUGCAAAAAAAGAUUGCAGCGGAAAGCGGGUUGGAAA